Molecule: ribosomal RNA, 266 nt
Filed under: uncultured Alphaproteobacteria bacterium
Lineage: Bacteria; Pseudomonadati; Pseudomonadota; Alphaproteobacteria
Description: partial 16S ribosomal RNA
Rfam family: Bacterial small subunit ribosomal RNA
Source: RNAcentral
CUCUUAGUUGCCAGCAUUCAGUUGGGCACUCUAAUAGAACUGCCGAUGAUAAAUCGGAGGAAGGUGGGGAUGACGUCAAGUCCUCAUGGCCCUUACGGGUUGGGCUACACACGUGCUACAAUGGUGGUGACAGUGGGUUAAUCCCCAAAAACCAUCUCAGUUCCUAUUGUUCUCUGCAACUCGAGAGCAUGAAGUCGGAAUCGCUAGUAAUCGCGGAACAGAAUGCCGCGGUGAAUACGUUCCCGGGCCUUGUACACACCGCCCGU